GCUGAGGUAGCCAAGCGGACCACGGCGCCGGUCUUGAAAACCGGUGGUGCACUGCGCCACGGGAGUUCGAAUCUCUACCUCAGCG
Molecule: transfer RNA, 85 nt
Filed under: Methanosarcinales archaeon
Lineage: Archaea; Methanobacteriati; Methanobacteriota; Methanomicrobia; Methanosarcinales
Description: tRNA-Ser
Rfam family: tRNA
About the family: Transfer RNA (tRNA) molecules are approximately 80 nucleotides in length. Their secondary structure includes four short double-helical elements and three loops (D, anti-codon, and T loops). Further hydrogen bonds mediate the characteristic L-shaped molecular structure. tRNAs have two regions of fundamental functional importance: the anti-codon, which is responsible for specific mRNA codon recognition, and the 3' end, to which the tRNAs corresponding amino acid is attached (by aminoacyl-tRNA synthetases). tRNAs cope with the degeneracy of the genetic code in two manners: having more than one tRNA (with a specific anti-codon) for a particular amino acid; and 'wobble' base-pairing, i.e. permitting non-standard base-pairing at the 3rd anti-codon position.
Source: RNAcentral